ACACUCCUACGGAGGCAGCAGUGGGGAAUAUUGCACAAUGGGCGCAAGCCUGAUGCAGCCAUGCCGCGUGUGUGAAGAAGGCCUUCGGGUUGUAAAGCACUUUCAGCGGGGAGGAAGGCGAUACGGUUAAUAACCGUGUUGAUUGACGUUACCCGCAGAAGAAGCACCGGCUAACUCCGUGCCAGCAGCCGCGGUAAUACGGAGGGUGCAAGCGUUAAUCGGAAUUACUGGGCGUAAAGCGCACGCAGGCGGUCUGUCAAGUCGGAUGUGAAAUCCCCGGGCUCAACCUGGGAACUGCAUUCGAAACUGGCAGGCUUGAGUCUUGUAGAGGGGGGUAGAAUUCCAGGUGUAGCGGUGAAAUGCGUAGAGAUCUGGAGGAAUACCGGUGGCGAAGGCGGCCCCCUGGACAAAGACUGACGCUCAGGUGCGAAAGCGUGGGGAGCAAACAGGAUUAGAAACCCUGGUAGUCCCAUGA
RNAcentral lists this ribosomal RNA (475 nucleotides) under uncultured organism. RNAcentral's name for it is "partial 16S ribosomal RNA". It matches the Rfam family "Bacterial small subunit ribosomal RNA", at positions 333 to 800 of the family's 1533-position model. The record is from RNAcentral.